ACCGGUUCAACCGCCAUUUUCAAGGAAUGCCGGGCCGGUUACUAUGUUAGCUAGGGCAAGCAAUAAACCCGCCACGACUCGCCUAAACCCGCGGGGUUACGCUCGUCAGCUCGUGCACGAACAAAGUUGCUCCCUCUGAAGUCUGAAGUGAAGUUCUCACGAAGACUCACCUCGCGAUGGGUCGAUCUCUCUCUCUAUGAUGACCUAGAAUUUGGGGACAAGAUCAAAAAUCAAAACUUCAAUUCCAGGCUUCCAGGGAUUAAUGUUCAUUACUUUAUUUUAAAAUGUCAUCUACACCAUCAUCAGGACCAUCAACUACAGGAUCCACAUCUAACCCUACUUCAACUUCAUCGUGCCUGUACAAAGUUCAGUUAGAGGAAAAAA
This is a long non-coding RNA of Tripterygium wilfordii, 384 nucleotides long. RefSeq lists it as uncharacterized. The transcript is spliced from 4 exons. The record is from RefSeq and is a predicted model, not a curated record. Lineage: Eukaryota; Viridiplantae; Streptophyta; Magnoliopsida; Celastrales; Celastraceae.